UGCCAGCCGCCGCGGUAAUACGGAGGGUGCGAGCGUUAAUCGGAAUUACUGGGCGUAAAGCGCGCGUAGGCGGCUAGGUCAGUCGAAUGUGAAAGCCCUGGGCUUAACCUGGGAAUUGCAUCCGAUACUGCUUGGCUAGAAUAUGGGAGAGGGAAGUGGAAUUUCCGGUGUAGCGGUGAAAUGCGUAGAUAUCGGAAGGAACACCAGUGGCGAAGGCGACUUCCUGGCCCAAUAUUGACGCUGAGGUGCGAAAGCGUGGGUAGCGAACAGGAUUAGAUA
RNAcentral lists this ribosomal RNA (279 nucleotides) under uncultured bacterium. Its description in RNAcentral is "partial 16S ribosomal RNA". It matches the Rfam family "Bacterial small subunit ribosomal RNA", at positions 506 to 784 of the family's 1533-position model. The record is from RNAcentral.